RNAcentral lists this transfer RNA (631 nucleotides) under Brasilonema mata-atlanticum P09-MK13. RNAcentral describes it as "16S-23S ribosomal RNA intergenic spacer". The stretch from base 270 to 342 matches the Rfam family "tRNA". The record is from RNAcentral. Lineage: Bacteria; Bacillati; Cyanobacteriota; Cyanophyceae; Nostocales; Scytonemataceae.
UUUAGGGAGACCCCCUUUUGAGUGAGUGCUUAUCAGUUUAGACUGAUGAGUGAGAAAAAAACUCAAAAGUCAUCCCGAGGUCGUGCGCAAGGAUAUAAGUGUAGGCUUUCAAACUAUAAGUAAGGUUCGAAUAUGGGCUAUUAGCUCAGGUGGUUAGAGCGCACCCCUGAUAAGGGUGAGGUCCCUGGUUCGAGUCCAGGAUGGCCCACCUGAAGUCAAUUCAAAAGUAAAAGAGAUUUAGUUCUUUUGAGAGAUUUGAAUUGUUGUAGGGGGGUAUAGCCCAGUUGGUAGAGCGCCUGCUUUGCAAGCAGGAUGUCAGGAGUUCGAGUCUCCUUACCUCCACCUGCUAAGUACAAAAUUUGUUCACGAAUGUGUUGUUAAAUUCAGAGUGUAUUGUUAGUAUCUCGAAAGACUAGCAAGAAUGGUAUUGGUAUAAACACAACAAGUGAGAUAAUUUAGUAUUUAAACAUCGUAAAGAGUGGUUAAGAUUCAGCAUCUUGUGGAAGACGCAAGACUGCUGGAAUGACAACCAGCAAAAGAACCUUGAAAACUGCAUAGAGACGCGAAAAUUGUCAGGUAGUUAACUCGUAAAGAGUUAAAGCUCCAAGCAUAAGCAGCAAUGAUUGUUUGU